Molecule: ribosomal RNA, 406 nt
Filed under: uncultured bacterium
Lineage: Bacteria
Description: partial 16S ribosomal RNA
Rfam family: Bacterial small subunit ribosomal RNA
Source: RNAcentral
GAUUAACGCUGGCGGCGUGCAUAACACAUGCAAGUCGAACGAAGUGGCGGACGGGUGAGUAACGCGUGAGUAACCUGCCUUAGAGAUGGGGAUAGCCUCUGGAAACGGAGAAUAAUACCCAAUGCUCUACGAUUGACUUGCGUCUGAUUAGCUUGUUCGUGAGAUAAUAGCGCACCAAGGCAACGAUCAGUAGCCGGCUUGGGGGAGUGUACGGCCACAUUGGGAGUGGGACACGGCCCAGACUCUACGAGGGGCAGCAGUGGGGAAGUUUGCACGAGGGGGGAACCACUGAUGCAGCGACGCCGCGUGAUUUAGAAGGCCUUCAGGUUGUAAAAAUCUUUUGUAUAGGAAGCAGUACUAUACGAAUAAGGACCGGCUAAUUACGUGCCAGCAGCCGCGGUAAUAC